CCUACGGGUGGCAGCAGUGAGGAAUAGUGGUCAAUGGCCGAGAGGCUGAACCAGCCAAGUCGCGUGAGGGAAGAAUGUCCUAUGGAUUGUAAACCUCUUGUGUCAGGGAGCAAAGUCACCCACGUGUGGGAGUUGGAGAGUACCUGAAGAAAAAGAAUCGGCUAACUCCGUGCCAGCAGCCGCGGUAAUACGGAGGAUGCGAGCGUUAUCCGGAUUUUUUGGGUUAAAAGGGUGGGGAGGCGGGUUAUCAAGUCAGCGGUAAAAUCGUGGAGCUCAACUCCUACCAGCCGUUGAAACGGCUGAUCUUGAGUGGGCGAGAAGUAUGCGGAAUGCGUGGUGUAGCGGUGAAAUGCAUAGAUAUCACGCAGAACUCCGAUUGCGAAGGCAGCAUACCGGCGCCCGACUGACGCUGAAGCACGAAAGCGUGGGUAUCGAACAGGAUUAGAUACCCUAGUAGUC
This 459-nucleotide ribosomal RNA is filed under the name uncultured bacterium. RNAcentral describes it as "partial 16S ribosomal RNA". It matches the Rfam family "Bacterial small subunit ribosomal RNA", at positions 338 to 795 of the family's 1533-position model. The record is from RNAcentral.